GGUCAUAUGUUGGAAGUAGAUAUGAAUUAAGACUGUCAUGGGUUGGCUUGUAGAGGUCUAAGGUGUUGGACAAAGGGCUACAACACUCAUGAGUGCUCAUAAGUUCUGAGUAUUGGAUUCAACCCACGCUCAUUGGAAUCACUUCAUGGAUUUUAUCACGAGUGAUCAUGAGACGAUAAUAUCGUAUAUUCUUCAAACCUAGAGAUAUGAGUUGUUACUAUGAGUUGGUUAUACAUUGAUUUCACGAAACCACAUUGGUAACUCGAUGUUAUAAAACGUGCAUUUGUGUAUGAUUCAACAAGUAGUAGAACAAGCCAUAUGAGUCGAAGUUUAUCCAUUCCUUUUACCUUCGGGAUAAAAGCGAUAUCUAUGGGCCCCUCGAUGAUUUAAUGAUGAUACAUGUGAGUGCUUGGCCAAGCCAGGACUGGAUCUGUUCAAUCGGUCAGUCAUCAUGAAUCGGAAAUCGGGAAACAACAAAUAGACAGAGAAAAUGAUUUUAAUCCAUGUCUCAGUCCAUAUGAUAUCUAGAAUGGAGGAAUAUAUAAUCCCUUAUCUAAUGGACAAGUCAUUGACAAAGGUCAGAGUUCAUCUACAAGAUCAGAGUUCGACAACGGCUUUUGACAGCUACGAUUGCCAGUUGGUUCUUGAAGUCAUACGCAAUAAUAGUUUUAGACUUAUCCAAGUGGGAGUCUGUUGGAUUAGUGUCUAAGUCCAUAACUAUAUUUGGUAUGUACUUGACCCGACUCGGCAUGGUCCAUUUGGGUUGCGUGGCAUUAGAAUAUUUGGAUAUACCGUUUGUGAGAAGAGGACAUUUGUGACAUAUUAAUAUAUUAUAAGUUCUAAUAUAUUAAUAUGAAAUCAUGUUAUUUAAUUAGUAUUAAUCAAGAAUAAAUUUGGACUUAAAUUUAGUGAUCAAAAAGAGAAUACUCAAAUAUAUGGGGAUUGAUUAUGUAAAUCAUUCAUUCUUAUAUAUGUAGGCUUAUGAUCCAAGAUUCCUUAUAUUGGGUUUAACCCAUGUGGUGACACAUGGAUACUCCAUGGAGGUUAAACCCCAUGGAGCAUAAGGAAUGGGUAAAGCCAUGAGUUACAUGGUGUAACCCUAAUAGCCACACUAUAUAAAGACCCCAUUAGUUGGUGAAAUUUGCGCUAGUAUAUACACAAGAGGGCAAGCCGAUUUCUAGAGUUCAGGUGUCUUCUUCUCAUUGUUAUUACAUGUGUUGGUGAUGUUGUGUGAACCAUUUGAGGUGUCACACUUGGGGAACUAGGCUCUCGAGCUUCAUGGAGUCAAGCUACAUCAACAAGGUAUGUAUUCGAUCCAUUUUAUUACCCAAGUAUGAAAAGAUUGUAUGCUAGUUAGGGUAAUACUUUGGAAUAUUCAUAUUUUCAUGUAUAAUAGAGAAAACAUAGAUCCAAGGUAUUUAGGGUUGCAUGUACACUUAGGAGUGUUAGAAUGCUCAAAACCCAACAUGUAACUAAUUGAGUUCCUCAAUGUCCAGAAGACCGAAAACCCAUGCAGACCAAAAACUCUAAUUCUUCACCGAAAUCACCCCCGAAUCUCAAAAACAGGUAAACCCUACUUGGCUUGUCAAGUGGACUCAUGGACUCGACGAGUUCCUUCAGUCUUUUGUGUUCAAUCCUUUGCCAAAGGGGUCCAGGGUCCCAAACUUCAGAUCCAACCUCUCCCAGUGCAGAUACCACGUAAAGUUGCAAACUUUACGUGCUUGCAAGGCCUCCUAAGGCUAUAACAUCAAGACUAAGCUUCCUAAAAGGUUUUUGUGCAUGGAGAGAGGCUAAGCUACAUAAAGUGAGCAACUUUAUGUCAUUGGGAACCUAGAGAGGUCCAGAUCUGGAACUAUAGCCUUGUGAUAAGUCCAUAUCCGAGUUCACACCAUUUUGCACCAAAAAUGGCCAUUUACUUUCCAAGAAAAGGGAUCUAAGCAACUAGAGAUCAAGGUAACGACUUUAUACCUCAAAAUGAUGGCCAAUACAGAGUAGAUGUCAGAUCUACUAUUUCUCUCCUUGCUCCUUCCUCUUCUAGCUCUAAAAUCCUUCACAAGGGUACAUGUUUCACUCUCUAAGGCUCACACACACUCAAGGAAGCUCAACUAUGCGGCUAGGGUUUCUUUUUGGAUUGCAGGGACGAUGGGGGAGGCUACAAAUGAGCCAUAAAUCCUUUAAAUUGGGUGCAAACCCCUAAAAAUUAGGGUUGCACUCUACAAAACCUACUCGUCGAGUCGGGGCCUUUCGACUCGUUCGAUCGGUAAUGAAGGGAAGCGGAUCGUAUCCGCCUAUGUCGCCGCUAUCUUCGGCCGAUAACGUCGUCGUCGCCGCUAUUUUGUGUUGCUAAUCGCUCCACUGCCACGACACCUAGUCUAGUCGAGUUGCACCAAAUCCGUUUUGUGGAAAUCGUGUCGCGACUAUGGGCUCGUGCCGCGAAUUGCACCGGAAUAUCUGGAAGGCUCAGAAAACAGAUUUCUUGGAAAGCAAGGCGUCGUCCUAAAGUUUUUAGGGGCCGAACUAUAAGGGUUUUUUACUGCCUUCUAGGGUUUCGACACCUAUAAAUACAGCUCCCUAGGAGCCAUAUUCCACACUCGAAAAUUCAUAGCUCUCGGUCUCUCUCUCUCUCUCUCUCUCACUAUUUCUCUCUCUGGGAGUUCUUCCUGGUUUCUGAGUACUCACUUUGUGUUUAUCGUUUUCCAUUGCUGUUGGAAAACCGAUAAAUCUACAUAAAAUCUCGAGGUUUUACUUUGUUGCUUACAGCUAAUAGAAGCGAAGUAAAAUCCUUUAAGGACAGUAGUCUGAUCUGUGUAAUUUUUUUUCUUAUGAUCAAGAUCAAUCGUCAUUAGGUCGGUUUACCUUUAUUGUCUCGCAUUUAUAUUCGUCCAAUAACAAGACAGUCUGCUUCUACUUCUUUCUUAUAGUUAGAUCUGAUCGUGAAUGAUCAAUCUGUUUUCUAGACGAAACUUGAUAACAAUAUUGGAUUUGUUAUCUUGGAACAUAUCAAUGUUUAAUCAUCUGUAUUAAUUGUUGGUUGUUUGUGAAAACGUUAGAUUAUUUAAUCAUAAAUAUUAUUUGUCCAUUCGUUUAUUUAUCUAUUCUAAAUAAUUCGUCCUUAGUACAUAAUAUUAAUUAUUAUAUUGUUUAAAUAUCAAGUCUGAAUUUCAACAAGAAAAAGAGGGGAUGGGUUGUUGUAAUGAUUUGUUUAUUCUCUAGCCAUGCACUAUGUCUCUUUUCUUGAUCAAGCUCUUAAAUACAAGCCGAUCUUGUACAAGUCUCUUUUUCCUCACCUCAAGUAGACAUAUUUUUAGUAAUACACUAGGUACAUGUCAAAUGUCAAGGUUGCAUGAUUUAUUUCAUGAUCUAAGCCUUCAUGUUUCACUCACAUGCUAUCUUUUAUAAAGUGCAUAUAUAUUUUUUAAGUCGAGUUUUAAGUGAUUUAUUUCAUCACCCAAAGCUUUUAUUUAUAACUUAAUGAAAUGUUUGUUUUUCAUAAAAUAUGUUGUUUAAAAAAAAACUCAUCUUAACCCAUCCCACAUAAAUGAAAUGUUGAACUUAUAGUGUGACAAAAAUGAUUUAGCUAUGAUGUGAAUAACAAAAAUGUGAAGUGACGUGACAUGACAUGCUGGCAACCAUGACACCAUUCAUUGCCUUAGGGUUAUGGGUGUUGGAUGAAACACCGUAGAGGAGGCUAAGUUGGCCUUCCUCCACACCGUUGAGGUAAUGGGAACAUCGCCUUUGCUAUACCGUACGUGUCGUGGCUGAAUGUGGAGGUUUCAACGUCACUCAACGCAAGGAAAAAAGGAAACGAUCAUAUGACCGCUGGGUUAAACCGUAGGAUUUAAAAAAACUACCCAUAAAUACAUAUCACCUCACUCAUUUUUAAAUCAUUCUUUUCUUUCUCUCUAUUUUAUAUAAUUACAUGGUCUCAAAAAUCAAAAUUUGAUCAAAACCUAAACAACCCUCCACCAAACCCAAACUCACAUCCAAACACAACCUCUUUUAUGAGAUUCGCUCAAUUCAAGAGUUAUAUUAACCUAUUAAACACCUAAAUGUCAUCGCAAAUACCAUACCAACAAACUUAUUUCUCUUCCACCUCACUUCUAAUACAAUUUCUUCCAACAAAAACUUAUACCAAACUUCCAAAAACUAAUAACCAUUCAACCAACUACUACCCAACAACCACCAGCCACACAACCAUCAGGAUAAUUUGUUACUAGAUAAUGGGAAAACAAAAGCGAAAGGGAAAGAUAAUGGGAAAACAAAAGCGAAAGGGAAAACCAAAGUCAAUCAGGAUAGUCCACAAUGGUGGACAUCAAAUGAGAAUUUGUGGUAACGGAAGUAUAUUGUGGGACAUAAAAAAAUAACAUUCAAAGAAAUAGUAGGAAGAAAAAAGCUUUUUGGGAAGCGGCCCUUCACAAAUUCCAUGGUUUGUUGAAAAUUUUUCAUACAGCAAUAAUGCUCUAAGACAUUUUAUGUAAUUAAUCCUAAAAAAUAUGACAACAUGUCAUUAUGUACGCUAAAAUAAUUACAAAAAAAAAUAUUUUAAAAACUAAUAAAACUUAUGUAAUGAUAGAAACAUAGUGUUGUAGGUGGUUUAAAAGAUUGGACUCUUUUGAAUGUAUAGAACAUGCGAUAAAUUAACAUGUUGAAAUGUUGAAAAGGCAACAAAAAGACGUUGAUACAUUUAAUAAAAUAAUAUUAUUAAUUUUACUAUUAAUAUUAUUAAUUUUACUAUUCAUUGUUUUGUGAUAAAUGUUAGUAAAGUAAAUGUUUUGUAAAGCCAUUACUCCUAUAGUGUUAUGCUACACCACUUUUUUUAUUGGAAAUUUAAAGGAACAUAGUUUCACAACCCAAAGUUUAUCCCGUUACAUUACUAUGUUGCCGUUAACGGAAUACUCCAUUUUAUAAAAAUUCCGUAAAUUAGAGGUCGCCAAAUAAAUAAAUAUUUUAUUUAUUUAUAUUUUAUGUCGUUAUAGUCGUAAUAAAAUAGAUGAAAACACUUAAAUUACAUUUCCAUGUCAAUUUGGGAAAAAAGUUAAAUUUUGUUACGACCACUAAAUCGGGUGCGACCAAAAGCCCCGUUAAACGACAGUAUCGGGUAGAUUUCCACUGAGCUUCAACUCAAACCCCUAUAUAAGGGGGAGUAACCCCCAUUUCAACCUUUUCGCUCUCUCUCUCUAUACUCUCUCUCAUAAAAUCCCGUUUUCGACUCAAAACCGCGAAUUUCCGCCUCCAAAUUGUAAGGUCUUCAACCCUAACUUGUUCUAAACAUGCAUUAUUGUUUUUAUAGCUCAAAAAUCACAUGAUUGAGACAAGAAAAAGGAGUUUACGGCCUAAGAGCCUCCUUAGGCCGUAAACACCCCAAAAGUGGCCAAAAGUCCCGAUUCUUCCUUAAUUGAGCUUGGAUACUAGCUAGGGAAUUUAUCUUGGAGUGUUUAAACAUCAAAACACAAGAUUUUAGGGCAUAAAAGAGAGUUUACGGCCCAAGCACAUGCUUAGGCCGUGAACACCUCUUAUACUUGCAAAAAUGCCCCAAAAACACUCCCAAACCACCCCUAUGCUUAAGACAUAAAUUAGGGACUUGCUAAUUCGGGUUUGGAACAUUCAAACACAAAAGAAUGUUGAGUAAAUUGGAGUUUACGGCCCAAGCAAGUGCUUAGGCCGUAAACACCCCCAAACCUUAUCAAAAGAUAGUUUUUGUCCCCCAAAUUGCCCUAGACUUUUAUUACAAAUUACUAUAAGUGAAAUAAGGACCUUAAACUUCCAUAAAAUCAAGGGAUAGGAGUUCACGGCCGUGAACUCCCAUAGGGGUGGUUCAUGGGCCGUAAACUCCCAUAUAGUCCCUAUAAACACCUUAAACCCACUCAUACAAGUUAGAUUUGGACCUAGCAAAAUUCCACGAUCAAGAUAAAGCCUUAAAACAUCCUAGAAACCCCUCACCAUGAGUUUACGACCGUAAACUCAUGGGGAGUUGUCCCUGGGCCGUAAACACCAUAUGGAGAGUUUACUCUUGGAGAGUAAACUCCAUUCCUAAGUCAUUCACACCUUUAAAUGUUACCCGGGACACCCCAAACACUUAACCAAAGUGUUUUCCGCUCUUUAGGGUGCGUAUACUUGUUUGAUUAGUAUUAAAUGUACUAAUUGUAUGUGAACAUAUGUUAUCAUAUGUUAAAUAGGUCACUAAGUGUGUCCAAGUCCUUACUUGACACCGAGCACCCAAUCGGCACCUUCGUCAUAUCCACUUACACCAGGUGAGUUCAUACCCCUGAAUGAACCUUUUAAAUGUUUUUACAUGUUUUAUAGGGGGGAAUACAAGUUAAACAUGUCAGUUAUCAUAUCAAUCACAUGUGAUUGAUAACCCGCAUGCACAAUGAUUUACCAAACUGUAAACUGUUUUACCAAGUAGGAUCAUAUAAAAGGUUUUCCAAAAGGUUUUCACUUGUUCAAAACUCUUACUUAUACUGUUUUAUCAAAGUUCAUUUUAAACUGGUUUAAGAAAAGUUUCCAAAGGAUUCUAAAGGUUUUCAAACUUAUUUUACAAAAGAAUACCCUGUCGUGAUUUUCUCAAGAAUAAAGGCUUUUCUUCCAUGUUUUGAUACUCCCUCUUAGUGUAAACUCCUACUUAUUAACACUUUCACUUCGUGAUGCAUUUAUAUCUGUUAUCGCCUCUAUUUUGCUUAUACUUGUAGUCGCUUAUGCCUGUUAGACACUCUUACUUCACUUGUUGUCACUUCUACUUCGUUAUUCCACACUGUACGGUUAUACAUCACGAUUCGGUUAUUCCACACUGUACGCUUAUACUUCACGAUACGGUUAUUCCACACUGUACGCUUAUACUUCACAAUUCGGUUAUUCCACACUGUACACUUAUACUUCACGAUUUGGUUAUUCCACAUGAUUUGAUU
Molecule: long non-coding RNA, 6905 nt
Filed under: Lactuca sativa (garden lettuce)
Lineage: Eukaryota; Viridiplantae; Streptophyta; Magnoliopsida; Asterales; Asteraceae
Description: long non-coding RNA (LSAT_LNC005006)
Source: RNAcentral